This 497-nucleotide ribosomal RNA is filed under the name uncultured bacterium. RNAcentral describes it as "partial 16S ribosomal RNA". It matches the Rfam family "Bacterial small subunit ribosomal RNA", at positions 28 to 507 of the family's 1533-position model. The record is from RNAcentral.
GAUGAACGCUGGCGGCGUGCCUAAUACAUGCAAGUCGAGCGAACAGACGAGGAGCUUGCUCCUCUGACGUUAGCGGCGGACGGGUGAGUAACACGUGGAUAACCUACCUAUAAGACUGGGAUAACUUCGGGAAACCGGAGCUAAUACCGGAUAAUAUAUUGAACCGCAUGGUUCAAUAGUGAAUGACGGUUUUGCUGUCACUUAUAGAUGGAUCCGCGCCGCAUUAGCUAGUUGGUAAGGUAACGGCUUACCAAGGCAACGAUGCGUAGCCGACCUGAGAGGGUGAUCGGCCACACUGGAACUGAGACACGGUCCAGACUCCUACGGGAGGCAGCAGUAGGGAAUCUUCCGCAAUGGGCGAAAGCCUGACGGAGCAACGCCGCGUGAGUGAUGAGGGUCUUCGGAUCGUAAAACUCUGUUAUUAGGGAAGAACAAAUGUGUAAGUAACUAUGCACGUCUUGACGGUACCUAAUCAGAAAGCCACGGCUAACUACGUG